GAUGAACGCUGGCGGCGUGCCUAAUACAUGCAAGUCGAGCGAACAGACGAGGAGCUUGCUCCUUUGACGUUAGCGGCGGACGGGUGAGUAACACGUAGGUAACCUACCUAUAAGACUGGGAUAACUUCGGGAAACCGGAGCUAAUACCGGAUAAUAUUUCGAACCGCAUGGUUCGAUAGUGAAAGAUGGCUUUGCUAUCACUUAUAGAUGGACCUGCGCCGUAUUAGCUAGUUGGUAAGGUAACGGCUUACCAAGGCAACGAUACGUAGCCGACCUGAGAGGGUGAUCGGCCACACUGGAACUGAGACACGGUCCAGACUCCUACGGGAGGCAGCAGUAGGGAAUCUUCCGCAAUGGGCGAAAGCCUGACGGAGAAACGCCGCGUGAGUGAUGAAGGUCUUCGGAUCGUAAAACUCUGUUAUUAGGGAAGAACAAACGUGUAAGUAACUGUGCACGUCUUGACGGUACCUAAUCAGAAAGCCACGGCUAACUACGUG
This 497-nucleotide ribosomal RNA is filed under the name uncultured bacterium. Its description in RNAcentral is "partial 16S ribosomal RNA". It matches the Rfam family "Bacterial small subunit ribosomal RNA", at positions 28 to 507 of the family's 1533-position model. The record is from RNAcentral.